UUCCUUCUGGCCAUUUGGUUCA
Molecule: non-coding RNA, 22 nt
Filed under: Arabidopsis thaliana (thale cress)
Lineage: Eukaryota; Viridiplantae; Streptophyta; Magnoliopsida; Brassicales; Brassicaceae
Source: RNAcentral